AAAUAACUAGAGAAACAAAGAGAAUUGUUGCUGUGUUGAACACUUGCUCCCGUCUACUUACUUCUCUAUAAUCCACUGACACUGCUGCUGAAUCCAUGGAGAGAAAAAGGAUAAAUUUCCAGAACUAUGGUCCCUGUGCUCCAGUUCGCCAGGCGGGCGCGGCGGAGACGGAGACCGAGGAACGCGGCUGGGGCCAUGCGGCGCUACCGCGCGUGGUGGCGCUGUGUCUGGCCUGAGGCUUCUGCUCGCUCCUUUACGCCUUCAGCCAGCUCCCCAUGUCCCCGGAGGAAGGAGCGGGCGGUGGUGGCGGGAAGCUGCAGGCCGCAGUGGCUUCCUGGCUGGCGGGAGGCGGAUGCGGUGCGGUGAGAGGCGCGAGCAGUGCUUGUCCCGCUGCGCAUCCCCGCAGGUGGGACAGGUGUAGUCUGAAAAUACAGCCUGUUGAGAAAAUGCAUCUAGGUGAAAGACUUGAAAAAACUAUGACCAUGUUGAAGUCAGCUAUUAUUUUCAGGAUCAAACCUCUUCAAUUCCAGAUUUUUGCUGAAGAUCAACUCAUCAUAGCUUUAAAG
RNAcentral lists this long non-coding RNA (566 nucleotides) under Homo sapiens (human). RNAcentral describes it as "HSALNT0149429". The record is from RNAcentral. Lineage: Eukaryota; Metazoa; Chordata; Mammalia; Primates; Hominidae.